This 253-nucleotide ribosomal RNA is filed under the name uncultured microorganism. RNAcentral's name for it is "partial 16S ribosomal RNA". It matches the Rfam family "Bacterial small subunit ribosomal RNA", at positions 524 to 776 of the family's 1533-position model. The record is from RNAcentral.
UACGUAGGGUGCGAGCGUUAAUCGGAUUUACUGGGCGUAAAGCGCGUGUAGGCGGCCCGUUAAGACAGGUGUGAAAUCCCUGGGCUCAACCUAGGAAUUGCGCUUGUGACUGGCGGGCUCGAGUACGGUAGAGGGGGGUGGAAUUCCUGGUGUAGCAGUGAAAUGCGUAGAGAUCAGGAGGAACACCGAUGGCGAAGGCAGCCCCCUGGGCCUGUACUGACGCUCAUGCACGAAAGCGUGGGGAGCAAACAGG